GAUGAACGCUGGCGGCGUGCCUAAUACAUGCAAGUCGAGCGAACAGAUAAGGAGCUUGCUCCUUUGACGUUAGCGGCGGACGGGUGAGUAACACGUGGGUAACCUACCUAUAAGACUGGGAUAACUUCGGGAAACCGGAGCUAAUACCGGAUAACAUUUGGAACCGCAUGGUUCCAAAGUGAAAGAUGGUUUUGCUAUCACUUAUAGAUGGACCCGCGCCGUAUUAGCUAGUUGGUAAGGUAACGGCUUACCAAGGCGACGAUACGUAGCCGACCUGAGAGGGUGAUCGGCCACACUGGAACUGAGACACGGUCCAGACUCCUACGGGAGGCAGCAGUAGGGAAUCUUCCGCAAUGGGCGAAAGCCUGACGGAGCAACGCCGCGUGAGUGAUGAAGGGUUUCGGCUCGUAAAACUCUGUUAUUAGGGAAGAACAAAUGUGUAAGUAACUGUGCACGUCUUGACGGUACCUAAUCAGAAAGCCACGGCUAACUACGUG
This 497-nucleotide ribosomal RNA is filed under the name uncultured bacterium. Its description in RNAcentral is "partial 16S ribosomal RNA". It matches the Rfam family "Bacterial small subunit ribosomal RNA", at positions 28 to 507 of the family's 1533-position model. The record is from RNAcentral.